Oreochromis aureus is the source of this 1944-nucleotide long non-coding RNA. The record is from Ensembl. NCBI's taxonomy places the organism in Eukaryota, Metazoa, Chordata, Actinopteri, Cichliformes, Cichlidae.
CAGGGAAGUACCGCCGUGUAAUCCAUUUAUUUCAACAAAGUAACUGUAUUCUGAAUACCACCUUUUUAAACGGUAACUGUAACGGAAUACAGUUACUCAUAUUUUGUAUUCUGAAUACGUAACGGCGGUACAUGUAUUCCGUUACUCCCCAACACUGUCACUAGGAGAUCAGAAACAUGGUGUCCUUGCAAAAGUGGAAAGAGGCCAGGCCUUGUCUUAUAGACAAAAUGUUAUCUACUCUGGAUCCACAGUCACACCGUGUGUGUCAGUGUGGCAAACAAGUAGUUGUGAGGUGUCUGGACUGCCUGCCUCUUCCAUUCCUUUGUGCUGACUGUGAUAUUGCAGUUCACACACGCUUUGUCCUGCACAACCAAGAGGCAGUAACAGGAGGGUUUUUGCAGCCUUCAUCAGAGUUUCACAAGCCAAUAGUUCGGCUGUUGCCUGUGCAAAGGCCAGACCAUGUGUGUGACUGCCAAGCAGGUAACGUUGAGGUUUCACCCGGCGCAGUUGUGGCUCUUGUAACCAUAAAUGGUUGCCCUUUUGUCACACACUACAUACACAAUAGAUGUGUUUGCAGGUUUUAGUGCAAAUUGUACAUUGCUAUCAUCAUUGUUUAUUUAUAUAGCACUUUAAAAACACACAAGGCUGACCAAAGUGCUGAACAAUAGAAACAUAAUAGAUACAUCUAUAAGAAUUGCUAUCUUGUUUUGAAUUACCCUCGGCCUGCAGUAUAUGUGGGCACCUGUCAAAGGUCAUUUGGAUUUACUUUGCUUUGCUUUGAAAACAACAUGAAAUCUUCACAACAUGAAAAAAAUGAAUGCUUUGACCCAUGACUGAAUUUAUCCUUAUCCUUUCUAAAGGCCGUUAUAACCUUGCACUGCCAGUGGUGAGCUGCACCAGCUGUGACUUAAUGUGGUCCCCCUCAGUUAAGGACAUCCUGGGUAGUGGAUAUUGGCCUGGCACCUUAAAUUUCUGCACCCUGUUUUCAAUGGAUGCCUUUCAGUCUUUCUAUGACAUUAAGAAGGCUGCACCAGGGAUGUCACUUAAGGCAUUUGUCAAAAUGCUGGAUGAAAGAACAGCCCAUUUUUGAAGGACUGGCCGAAUAUCAGCUGAUGCCUUCAGUAAAAGCUUUGUGGAGUGGAGUGCUGUUUGAGAUGGACAGGAUGUGCAAGGAGCCAUGCGUUAGCUGCCCUGCCUGCACUCCAGACGUGCUUGCCGUCUCAGUUGAUGGAAACUGGAAGCUUUAUCGCAUUCAAUCAAAUACAAGCACUUCAGAGCAGGCGAACUUUGAAGGUGUCUUCAUUGAAAAAGAUGAGGAAGUUGCUGAGUUUAUGAAAUACAUCCAGAGACACACAAAUGAUGUGGCUCAGCUGAGGAACCUCUUGUCAAUGCGUCCAUUUCUCUCCGUCAUGCAUGCAAAGGCUCUCAUUUGGAAAUGCGAGGGCGAACAGACAUGCUGACCCUCCUGGCUUUGGGGUGGACCAAAAGGAAAGUGGAACAACUGGGCCGCAGUUUGAGCCAGAGAUAUCUAAAGAUCAUAAGGAUCCUUAGAGAACAAAUGGAGAGCCUGAAUAUGACCAGAAAUGAGCUGGGUGUGGAUGACGACACACUGCAGCAAUGGGUGGCCGAUGUGCAGAAAUGGGCUGAAAGUGAGUCUCAAUAUAACACACUCGUGUAUAACAAUAGGACCCACCAUGGCCUCAUUAAAGAACUUAAGGUAGAGUUAAUAUCUUUCUGACAGUGUCAACAAACAAAGAAAAAUAAGCCUUGUAAAAGUGGAAUUUAUGGCAGAGUUUUUGCGUUUCAUCAAAUUGGAUUGAACCUGGGUUGAAAUGAUGUCGUACUAGUUGGUUUUAUAAACCUGAACACCGACAUACUUGUUAUCUAAUGAUAAUGCAGCACAUGAAGGCUACAGAUGUCUUAUAAUGAAUAUCAUCAAGUCAG